RNAcentral lists this long non-coding RNA (469 nucleotides) under Zostera marina. RNAcentral describes it as "long non-coding RNA (ZMAR_LNC003177)". The record is from RNAcentral. Lineage: Eukaryota; Viridiplantae; Streptophyta; Magnoliopsida; Alismatales; Zosteraceae.
UGGGGAUUUAGUAGUAAUGGUGCAAAAGAAGAGAAAAGAGUGGGUCAGAAUUUUCAUUUAAUUUUGAGCUUUACCUUUCUUGGAGAAAUAAGCUGUCGUUGUUGAAAUUAUUACUCACAUCGCUAAAACAACUGGUUUCCUCGUUGGCGCCAGAAAAGGGGACAGCCCUCGAGCACUCAUCUAAAAAUGGCAGGUAUCGCAGCAACUUUAGUAAUAAGAAAUCUGAGGAACCUGUUACUUUUUUCUUUUCAAAAUCAUACCUUCGUGAGAAAUUUGCUGUUGAUGGGUUGGAAUAAUGGAGGUAGGUGUGGUUGUGGCAGUGGCUUUUGGACUUGCGGUUUGAAUUGGGUUGGAUGAAGACAUAGAACACAGAUUCCUGUUCUUCAGAUCGAGCAUUUGAAGACCCAUGAAUCGUCUCCCUUGUUGCUCAAUGGCUUGCUGAAGAUCCACUGCUUGCUGCUGCUGUUCC